CCUACGGGUGGCAGCAGUGGGGGAUAUUGCACAAUGGGGGAAACCCUGAUGCAGCGACGCCGCGUGGGUGAAGAAGCAUCUCGGCACGUAAAGCCCUAUCAGCAGGGAAGAAAAUGACGGUACCUGACGAAGAAGCCCCGGCUAACUACGUGCCAGCAGCCGCGGUAAUACGUAGGGGGCAAGCGUUAUCCGGAUUUACUGGGUGUAAAGGGGGCGUAGACGGCGACGCAAGCCGGGAGUGAAAUCCCGGGGCUUAACCCCGGAACUGCUUUGGAAACUGUGGGGCUGGAGUGCAGGAGGGGUAAGCGGAAUUCCUAGUGGAGCGGUGAAAUGCGUAGAUAUUAGGAGGAACACCGGUGGCGAAGGCGGCUUACUGGACUGUAACUGACGUUGAGGCCCGAAAGCGUGGGGAGCAAACAGGAUUAGAUACCCUAGUAGUC
This 440-nucleotide ribosomal RNA is filed under the name uncultured bacterium. Its description in RNAcentral is "partial 16S ribosomal RNA". It matches the Rfam family "Bacterial small subunit ribosomal RNA", at positions 338 to 795 of the family's 1533-position model. The record is from RNAcentral.